This 72-nucleotide transfer RNA is filed under the name Sphingobacteriaceae bacterium. RNAcentral's name for it is "tRNA-Gly". It matches the Rfam family "tRNA". From Rfam's summary of the family: Transfer RNA (tRNA) molecules are approximately 80 nucleotides in length. Their secondary structure includes four short double-helical elements and three loops (D, anti-codon, and T loops). Lineage: Bacteria; Pseudomonadati; Bacteroidota; Sphingobacteriia; Sphingobacteriales; Sphingobacteriaceae. The record is from RNAcentral.
ACGGAUAUAGUAUAACGGUUAGUAUAGCUACCUUCCAAGUAGUUGGCGAGGUUUCGAUUACCUCUAUCCGUA